CAGGCCUAACACAUGCAAGUCGAGCGGAGAUGAGGUGCUUGCACCUUAUCUUAGCGGCGGACGGGUGAGUAAUGCUUAGGAAUCUGCCUAUUAGUGGGGGACAACAUUUCGAAAGGAAUGCUAAUACCGCAUACGCCCUACGGGGGAAAGCAGGGGAUCUUCGGACCUUGCGCUAAUAGAUGAGCCUAAGUCGGAUUAGCUAGUUGGUGGGGUAAAGGCCUACCAAGGCGACGAUCUGUAGCGGGUCUGAGAGGAUGAUCCGCCACACUGGGACUGAGACACGGCCCAGACUCCUACGGGAGGCAGCAGUGGGGAAUAUUGGACAAUGGGGGGAACCCUGAUCCAGCCAUGCCGCGUGUGUGAAGAAGGCCUUUUGGUUGUAAAGCACUUUAAGCGAGGAGGAGGAGCUCUAGAUUAAUACUCUAGAUGCUUGGACGUUACUCGCAGAAUAAGCACCGGCUAACUCUGUGCCAGCAGCCGC
RNAcentral lists this ribosomal RNA (481 nucleotides) under uncultured bacterium. Its description in RNAcentral is "bacterial SSU rRNA". It matches the Rfam family "Bacterial small subunit ribosomal RNA", at positions 43 to 518 of the family's 1533-position model. The record is from RNAcentral.